UACGUAGGUGGCAAGCGUUAUCCGGAAUUAUUGGGCGUAAAGAGUGAGCAGGCGGCAGGAUAAGUUUGAAGUGAAAGCGUGGGGCUCAACCCCAUACAGCUCCAAAAACUGUCCAGCUAGAGUGCGAGAGGGGUAAGCGGAAUUCCAUGUGUAGCGGUGAAAUGCUUAGAUAUAUGGAGGAACACCAGUGGCGAAGGCGGCUUACUAGCUCGAUACUGACGCUCAGUCACGAAAGCGUGGGGAGCAAAUA
This 250-nucleotide ribosomal RNA is filed under the name uncultured prokaryote. RNAcentral's name for it is "partial 16S ribosomal RNA". It matches the Rfam family "Bacterial small subunit ribosomal RNA", at positions 524 to 774 of the family's 1533-position model. The record is from RNAcentral.